Molecule: long non-coding RNA, 685 nt
Filed under: Olea europaea (common olive)
Lineage: Eukaryota; Viridiplantae; Streptophyta; Magnoliopsida; Lamiales; Oleaceae
Description: long non-coding RNA (OEUR_LNC005702)
Source: RNAcentral
UACCUUGCCCUUUCAUUAGUAUGAUUGCGUCACUUUAUGCUUCAACAUUCCCUUCAAGCUUAUAACAUUAGCCUUAGUUCUUCCCUUGGCUACUGCUACAGUCGAUAAAGCAUUUUCUGCUAUGACCAAUGUCAAAAAUCAUCUGCAGAAUUGAAUCGAGGAUCAAUGGUUAAAUGUUAGUUUGAUUGCAUAUAUUUAGAAUGGUGCAUUUGAUAAUAUUGAAAAUGAUGUAAUUAUUGAAAAGUAUGUGAUCAAAUAGAGAAUAAUUGUGAUAAGAUAUCAGAUACUAUAUUAUUUUGCAAGUUUGAUUGUGUUCCUCUAACUAAAAAUGUCUUGCUAGUGUCAUCAAUGACUUGAGAAUACAAUUGCACGUUGUUCCAAUUAUUAUUGAAGGAUUCAAGAUUACACUUCCAAUUGGAAUGUUACUUCGAUCAAAGCAAUUCGAAGUGGAACUAACGAUUUAUAUAAUCAAGAACUGCUAUAAGCUCGACACUUUUCUUCUUCUAUGUAUUGAAUGGAAGAAUAACAUAUCACUUCUAGUCGAGGUAUUAAUUAAAUGCAGCCUCAGACGUACCUACACACUGCCAGCGACAAUGUAUCGGUGUUCGACACGUAUUGGACAUCGAUACACUUUCGAUACGUCAUCGAUGCGUGUCGGAGGCUUUGGUAGGCAGCUGACUUGAAG